RNAcentral lists this ribosomal RNA (253 nucleotides) under uncultured bacterium. Its description in RNAcentral is "partial 16S ribosomal RNA". It matches the Rfam family "Bacterial small subunit ribosomal RNA", at positions 524 to 776 of the family's 1533-position model. The record is from RNAcentral.
UACAGAGGUCCCGAGCGUUGUUCGGAUUCACUGGGCGUAAAGGGCGCGUAGGCGGCCCGCUAAGUCGAACGUGAAAUCCCCAGGCUCAACCUGGGAACUGCGUCCGAUACUGGCAGGCUUGAAUCCGGGAGAGGGAUGUGGAAUUCCAGGUGUAGCGGUGAAAUGCGUAGAUAUCUGGAAGAACACCAAUGGCGAAAGCAGCUCUCUGGGACGGUACUGACGCUGAGACGCGAAAGCGUGGGGAGCGAACAGG